Molecule: ribosomal RNA, 498 nt
Filed under: uncultured bacterium
Lineage: Bacteria
Description: partial 16S ribosomal RNA
Rfam family: Bacterial small subunit ribosomal RNA
Source: RNAcentral
ACUCAAAGGAAUAGACGGGGGCCCGCACAAGCGGUGGAGCAUGUGGUUUAAUUCGAUGCAACGCGAAGAACCUUACCUACCCUUGACAUCCUGCGGACCUGGCUGAGAGGCCGGGGUGCCGAAAGGAACGCAGAGACAGGUGCUGCAUGGCUGUCGUCAGCUCGUGUUGUGAGAUGUUGGGUUAAGUCCCGUAACGAGCGCAACCCUUGUCCUUAGUUGCCAUCAUUUAGUUGGGGACUCUAAGGAGACUGCCGGUGAGGAACCGGAGGAAGGCGGGGACGACGUCAAGUCAUCAUGGCCUUUAUGGGUAGGGCCACACACGUGCUACAAUGGGGCGUACAGAGGGCCGCGAACCCGCGAGGGGGAGCCAAUCUCGGAAAGCGCCUCGUAGUCCGGAUUGGGGUCUGCAACUCGACCCCAUGAAGUUGGAAUCGCUAGUAAUCGCGGAUCAGCUACGCCGCGGUGAAUACGUUCCCGGGCCUUGUACACACCGCCCGU